This 392-nucleotide long non-coding RNA is filed under the name Erythranthe guttata (spotted monkey flower). RNAcentral's name for it is "long non-coding RNA (EGUT_LNC003849)". The record is from RNAcentral. Lineage: Eukaryota; Viridiplantae; Streptophyta; Magnoliopsida; Lamiales; Phrymaceae.
AUCAGAGGGCUUGGCGAUAUUGUUUGGGUUAGGGGCAGAAGGGAAAGAGUCCUUCAAUUUGGGGGCGCGUGAAUCCUUUUCUAGGGUUUCCUGAAUUCUCUUUAGAUUCGGAACGUGACCCAUCUCUCCCCUUUGCUCCCACACUUCGUUCUUUCUCCUCUUUCUCUCUCCGUAUGUGUGUGUUGUGUGUAGAUAUAUAUGAUUCGAACACCAAUUCAAUGUAUGUAUAUAUAUAAAUCUAUAUCGAUAUUGAUAAAAACAGGAUUGAAUGAAGCAGAGAAUUGAUGUGAGAAACAGUGGGAAAAGGUAGAAUUAGGGCUUUUGGUAGAGAAAAUGAAGAAGAGUAGGAGAAGGUUAUCCCGUUCUCCCUCGGUUCUCUCUCUGAUUUUUGU